Molecule: regulatory RNA element, 120 nt
Rfam family: FMN riboswitch aptamer (RFN element)
About the family: The RFN element is a highly conserved domain that is found frequently in the 5'-untranslated regions of prokaryotic mRNAs that encode for flavin mononucleotide (FMN) biosynthesis and transport proteins. This element is a metabolite-dependent riboswitch that directly binds FMN in the absence of proteins.
Source: Rfam
GUUUAUCUUCAGGGCAGGGUGAAAAUCCCGACCGGCGGUAAAAGUCCGCGACCCUUGUUUAAGGUUGAUUCGGUGCAAUUCCGAAACCGACAGUGAUAGUCUGGAUGGAAGAAGAUAGUA